Eupeodes corollae is the source of this 1253-nucleotide long non-coding RNA. RefSeq lists it as uncharacterized. The record is from RefSeq and is a predicted model, not a curated record. Lineage: Eukaryota; Metazoa; Arthropoda; Insecta; Diptera; Syrphidae. The transcript is spliced from 2 exons.
UAAAUGUAAUUUACAAGGCUAAAAAGUCACGAAAUGUCGUCGUUUCUAACCUGAGAUGCGAUGCGUAUGUUUAUAAGCAUCACAAUUGAAUAAUACUUUAAUCGUCAACAUCAAUAUUAUGUAUGUACCUUCAUAAAUAUCAUCUCCCAAUCAGAAAACGACGACGUCAUUCAUCUUACAAUUAAAGCUACAGCAAAUAAUAAAAAUAUAGUAAUAAAAAUGAUUUAUAUUCAUAUUCAACUGCUGCACUCGCGAUGUUUACACUUGAACUCACCAUGUGUCCAUUAAAACGCUCAUAAAAAUUGCUUUCGAUGAACGUAUAAAUUGCAAUGUAAACACGAGCAUCGUUUAUUAGUAUUUUGAACGUGUUUUGAACCAGGGGUAAACCACUUGUCAAAGUUUUGACUUAAAAUGUAUUCAAAUUUAAAAAAAUAAAAAAAUGAAAAAAACGGGAACAUUUUUACUAUGACAUAUUUGGUGGUGCCAAGCAGUGUCAAGGUUUCUGAGGUAGAACAAAUCAAGACUCAAUGCAAGAUUUUUAAAAUUCAUACAAUAAAAAUAUAUUCUAUUGAGAAGGAUUGAUUCCCAAAACAGGCAUUUAACAAUGAUGUCAUUCAAAACCACAACAGAAAAUUAAACAUCACUUACAAUAAUAUGUUUCUGUGACCGUGGGGUUUUUUGUUUUAUCAUUUAGUCAUUUUUAACCCAACUUGAUAACCAAAUUCUGUGGAAGUUGUCGGUUAAAUAAUUCGAAGAAUUUGACGUUUUAUGUACAACUAAAUCUACGAGUAUAUAGGCAUCAUCGUACAGAAUAAAACCGAUUAAACUUGACACAUAUUUGAACAUUCCACUUUGUGAUUUAUGCGAAGUAAACAAUGCAAUGAAAAAUGGGGAGUGUGGCUGUGGGGCAGGCAGACAAGCCUGCCUAUACACUAAAUGAGAAUGACGAUGGCAGUCGAAACGAAAACAAGAAGGAAAAAAAGUGAGAAUAUGUCAGACACGAUAAAAGUCUAUAAAUAGAUUUGAGAGGAAACAUUGAAAGAUAGUCUUGCCGAUUUUGGAAGAAUAUUUAACACACAAUUAAGUGAUUUAACACAGAAAAAAAAACAAAAAGAAGGAACAUUAUCUUAAAUGCAAGGAAACGACGAUAGAGAAAGUGACAGGCAUUGUCUUUUCACAAUGGAAAUUCCUGAGACAAAAGUACAAAUUCGAAAUUAAACUGUCAACACAAUAUUCAUCUUGAAAAAUGUUAA